This 8203-nucleotide long non-coding RNA is filed under the name Gossypium barbadense (sea-island cotton). Its description in RNAcentral is "long non-coding RNA (GBAR_LNC016799)". Lineage: Eukaryota; Viridiplantae; Streptophyta; Magnoliopsida; Malvales; Malvaceae. The record is from RNAcentral.
UAUGCCCUUGCAUGGACACUUGGACUUCUCAUUUGCGUCAGCAUGGCAUCCUGAUGGUGUCACUUUUGCAACCGGGAACCAAGACAAAACAUGCCGAAUUUGGGAUGUUCGAAACUUGUCAAGGUCAAUUGCUGUUCUCAAGGGGAACCUUGGAGCAAUACGGUCCAUUCGCUACACAUCUGAUGGUAAGUACAUGGCCAUGGCUGAGCCUGCUGACUUUGUGCAUGUGUAUGACGUGAAAAGUGGGUAUGAGAAUGAGCAAGAAAUCGAUUUCUUUGGUGAGAUAUCCGGCCUAUCCUUUAGUCCGGACACAGAGUCUCUCUUUAUUGGUGUAUGGGAUCGUACAUAUGGCAGCCUUCUUGAGUAUGGCCAGCGGAGGAACUACUUAUAUCUUAAUUCCCUAAUGUGAGUUGAUUGUGAUGCAGGCAAAACAAGCAUGCUGGUGUAGUUUAUGAUAUUUGAGGAACUUGUAUCAUUUCAAGUUGUAGAAGAGGGUUUACUGUAGAUGUAAAAUGUAAAAUGAAAUGAAAUCUGUAACUUUAGGUGAUUGCUGUUGAAUUAGAAUUUAGUUUUCUGAUGAUAUAAGAUGUUAAUGGGAGAAAGGGUAGAAUUAGAUAGGGUUCUUAAGUUGAACAAAAGUGAAAGACGUGUAUGGUUUCCUUGGGUGGGGAGCUACACACUACAGGUUUUAAAUUUGAAUUUAUACACGGUGGAUUUAACUCAACUAAGAUUCGUAUACUAGUAUACCCAAAUAUUAUAAAAAAUAGUGAUAUAAUUAGAGGAUGUAUUUUUAUUGACCUCAACCUGUUCAUGUGUCCAGCUGUUGUCAUGGGUUGAAGCUUUAGCUCGGCUAUUCAUACGGCCUUAGAUGCCGCACAAUAAGCUCAACCAACAAUGACAAAAGGAUAUAGUCAAUACCCAAAGACACACAAGGUUAAAGGCACUUGAGAGAGAAGUUUAACAAGGAGCAGUGAUAAAAGAUUUAGUCAAUGCCAAAAACCACACGCAAGGUUAAAGGCACUUGACAGAAGAUAACGCAAGGAUAACACUUAAAGGAUAAAGGCACUUAAGAUAGUCAAUGCCAAAAAACACACACAAGGUUAAAGGCACUUGAGAGAGAGAGAGAGAUAACACAAGGAAAACACUUGCGAGAUGAUAAAGGCACACAAGGAAGAUUGUAGGAAAAUGCUUCGGUAUUUGACCGUCAAUGUGCGAACGUCGAACCCGAGGGACAUAAAGUAAUCAAAAUGCUAAGAAUCAAAAUACAUGCAAGGGAAAAACUAUUAAGCUACUAAGGCAACUAUUUAUUACGACAAUGGUAAAGAAAUGAUUUCUUACAAUUCCUAAUAAGAGAAUAAAUGUGCAAAAAUCCAAUUAUCAAAAUUAACAAAUAGGCAACAAUAGUGAUUGGUUAAUUUCCAUGCUAACAGUGAAUUUGUGCAUAAGGGAUUUAAUCACUAAUUUUCUCAUUUAUUAACAUCUCACAUUAAGUAUAUUCAAUAGAUAUUGCUCGUUUGAGCAUGCUUCCAGUAGAACCAGUGAGUAUGGUUCGAUUGAGCAUACUUUCAAUAGAAUCAGUAUCUCAUUUUUUUUUAAGAUCAUACUAUUAUACAAUAUGAUAUUUAAUAAAAUUAUAUCAACAUAGAAUAUAAAAAUUGUUAGAAGUAUAAAUAAUCGUACAAACUUACAGGAUUGAUUUGUAGUAACGGCUUAGAAUAUCUUAAUCAGUUAGGUUUGUCUCUUCGGAUUAUUAGCUUGACGCUUAUGGCAGAAUCGAAACUUUUUCAUCUUUCAAAGGAAAUCCUGGAGCUCUAGCGAGAUCAUUAAAGUUUCCAUGUGUUGGACCAAAAAAUCUUCUUUGGCUCCUAAAGAUGGUUUGAUUGAUAACAUAGGUUUACCUCAUGGGGAGCCUUUUUCCAAGGUUGAACCUUUCUUAACACCAAUGGUGUUGUUCAAGUAACGUCAGGAAGAGCAACUACUGGAGGAGUGGUACGGGAUGGUACUGGUGAUUGGGUGAUUGGUUAUAAUAGAUUCCUAAGGAAUUGUUCGAUUUUUGACACGGAACUUUGGGGCAUUUUGGAUGGCUUAAAACUCCUCCAACGUAAAGGUCAUAGCAGUGUAGUUAUUCACUUUGAUAGCUUGGAGGUAGUAAAAGCUAUUCAUGGAAAUAUUUUGAAGAUCUCAAACUCUACCCUGAUCAAAAGAAUACAUAGUAUUUUGUCCCAAGAAAGUCAAUGGAUUUAAGAUAUAGCCCAGGGAGGAGAAUCAAUGUGCUGACUAUCUUGCCAAAUUGGCCUUUGAAAGGAAAAAGGAUUUACAACUGGUUGAAACCCUCCAGAUGCAGUGUUAGAUUUCCUUAAUUCAAAUAAAGAAAGGAAUUUUUAUACCUUUCGAAUAUUUCAUGUAAUUUAAUUUUGUUAUGCUUCUUUUCACAAAAAAAAAAAUGGGGAUCGUUUAGUUUUAAGUGGUAAAAUGACUAAAAUACCCUUAAGGUUAAAUCCUUACAAAUAGUUUUAAAAUGGUUCACAAAUCGCUUCCGCAAUAAGAUUAGAAAGUUAUUAGUUAGAAUUGAGGUGUUAUAAGGUUGGAGUGUCUUUUGGGGUGGUUUUGUGCUAGAGAAUCACUUUGGUGGCUAAUGUAUCGGUUCAGAUUCAGGUCGGUCCGUUCCGGUCGGGUUUAGGGUGUCACAAAAUUCACAUCUCAUAAAAUUAUUUCAAAGGAAUAACUCAUCUUAUAUAUAUACUUACCAAAUAAUACAAUGUCUAAAAGCAACGUUUUUAAAUAGUUUAGAUUAUAGAAACACAAAUCGUAAAUUUCAAGCUAUUCCUCGCUGACCUUAUCUUUUCCUUUCUUUUUCAAGGAUUCCGAAACAACGUUAGCUAUGGAUUGAAAUAAUUAAAAUAAAUUAAUAAUACAAAACCCAAUUCACAUUCAAUUACAAAAUUUGUACUAUUUUUGCAUAAAGCUCGAUUUAGUCCCUAAAACUGAAACUAACUUAACUUCCACAUUUAACCUCAAAUUUUUAUACCAAUUUCACUCUAAUCUAAAUUUAGCUCCCUAUUUCUCAGUUCUACCCCAUAAUUUUGAAUUUUCAUAAUUUGGUCUCUAUUAUUUAAAAUCAACAAUUAAAAUCACAAUUGAUAAAAAAAACAAUUAACUUCAUAAUUUAGUCCUUUUUCACUUCUAACCUAAAAAUCUAUCAAAUUAAUCCCUAAAGUUUUAACUACUCAAUAAUGGUAACAACUAAAAUCUUAAGCAAUACCGAAAAAUAGUACAUAGGUCAACUAACUUUCGAGUCGUUACAAUUAACUUAAAAUGAUUAAAAAUAUUAAAGAAAAGCAACAAUAAUUAAAUUGAAAUGAGGCAGGGAUGAAAACAUCCAACAUUCAUAGAUAUAGUAAUGUUUUCAAGAUUAUAAAUAUAUAAACGGAGUAGAGUGCGCUGACUAUGGAGCAAUGGUAGAUUUAACAAUAACUACCUGCCCGCUCCAUUGUCAUUCCUAAGCAUAGAUUUAUUACUUUGUAAAUAUAUAUAUAUAAAUGUAAUUUUGAUGUUAAUUAGUAUGGUUUUCACUCAUGCUUCGUAUUGGAUUAAUUAUUAUUAUUUAAUUAAAUUAUAGAAUAAAAAAUUUAAAGGUUACAAUAAACUCAAAGUUCUUGUACUCUUUGUAUAAUUAAAAUUUAAUCUUCAUACUUCUAUUUUUAUGAAUUUAAUCUCUUUACUUUUUGAAUUUAAAAAUUUAGGUCCAUUUGGAAUAUAUAAAACAUUUAGACUAUCUAAUGGAGGUAGUAAACUAUGUCAAAAUUAAAGUAUAGAAAUUAAAUUUCAAAUUUAAGUGAAAAUAUACUAUUUUUAUAUUAUCUCAAAAAUGUAAAAAUAAAGGGAUUAAAACUGAAAUUUAACCAUUAUCUUCUCGUGUAAGAAAAAUGGAAAAAGGAUAUGUGUCAUGUAAGAAGGCCCUAAGUCACUCCAUUUAUAUGAGUAUAGAUAUUUUGAUCUGCAGAUCGUCGGUAAUCACCUUCCAGUAAGAAUCUCUUACAUUUUAAAAGGUAAACUCUCUCGCUUUUUAUUUUUUAUUUUCUUGUUCGCUUUUGCAUUCUUCGAUCUCGAGUCAGUUUUCUUUAUGUGAUCAUUUCUGUUUAUCUCUUCAUUGGUGCGUACGGAUGUUAAUUACUUUCCUAUAACAAUUUUGGAGUUUGCCCCCUUUCUUUUUAAUUAAUUAUUUUUUUGUUUAUGGAUAACAUUUAUUAUUCUCAAUUGAUUGUUCCCUGCUGUUGUUGCAUGAUUGUUAUGAUCCGGGACAUUAAAUUUUGGUUGGAAUUUCAAUUAGGGUUCAUACUAAUCAGCCCAGUUCUUGUUUGUGCCAUUUUUUCCUCCUUUUACCAGUAAUUGCGUGUUUCAUUCAUGGACACAUAAUUCUCAUGCAUAUAAAUUUGAUCAAGACUUGGCUUUUUUGUUAGGCCCCAACAUCCAGAAGGAUGAAUAAUUCCGCAAAUGGGAAUGUAAAAUAGAAAGAAAAAAAAAAGCUCGAUCUUUUUAUGAGACAAAAGUUCCCAAAUCUAGAGACAAAGUUGUUUUACUCUUGCUUUUCGGAUAUUUCAUGCUUGAAGAAAAACGCAAAUCUCUUAUCUGUCUUAACAUGAUUAUGGCAUAAUUGAAUUGAAAAUGUUGCAAAAAUAACUUCAAAAUGUAGUUAAUUUCUCGAAAUUACUUAUGGCGGCAUUGACUUGUGCACUCUCAGUCUUUAAUUAGUUUAUCUAUAUGCUGAUGGAAGUAUUUCGUACAUGUUGAGAAUUGGCAUAAAACUGUUACUAAUAUAAAGGAUUUGUGAUUCUAUGGGCAUGUUAUUUUAGAUAUUUGUUUCCAUCUCCCUUUCUUUUUCCUUUAGCUGGAUUCCUAUGUAUAAGAGUAGGUUUGAUUUUCUUUGUAAUGUGACUAGGAUAUGGUUUUAGUAUCCUUUACUACCACUUGUACGAUAUCCUUAAAUUAGACUGUUGGAUAAUUUAAUUACAAUUAAUGUUAAUCCAUUUUAUUGUGUUAAACAUACCAUUGUUUAUAUUGUAACUUGUAUCAGUUGUUGCGGCAGUACAUGCCAUGUUGCUUUUCCCUAUGAUUUUAAAUGUCGUCAUCUGAUCAAUUUUGAUUAUCUCUUCACCAGUGUACGUAGCACAGAGUUUACUUCUUAGAAAUCAAUGGGAAGAGUAUCUUCCAAUUAAAUGUUGUGUGAUUCUCUAUGGGUAUUUACUUUAUAAUUGUUGGGUUACUAUAGUGCUUGAAGCUACAUUGGUGCAGGUGUAGUUUUGUCUGGUGGAAUUCUGCGGCAGAGAUAUGUCUGGCUCGGAGUCUGAUGUUGAUGAAUAUGAUUACUCGGUUUGUUUGAUGAUUUACAAGAUGCAAAUUGGACUUAAAUUAAUUCAUUCAUAACUUAGGCAAACGUAAAAUAAGGGUUUUUUAUUUUUUAAAAUUGGGAUAAAUCUGAAAACUAUACAUCAACUUUGAACAAAUGUGCAAUGUUAUACAUAAAAUUUGAUUUUGUGCAAUUUUAUACUUGAAAUUUUCAUUUGAUUCAAUUUUCACAAAUCAUUAACACAAUUAUAAAUAAAGAGUUACCUUACAAUUAUAUAUUGCAUGUAUAAAUAAUUAUUUUUAUCUAAUAAAUAAAUAAAAUUGAUAUAAUUAUUUUUUAAAAUGUGUACAGUUGAAUCAAAAUCAAAGUUUUAAGUAUACAUUUCAACUACAAUCAAAGUUUCAUGUGUAUGAUUGCAUCAAAUCAAAGUUCAUGUAUCAAAUUGCACAUUAGGUUGAAGUUAAUGUGUAGUUUUUGAGAUUUAUCCAUUAAUUUUUUUUUUAAAAGUUUCUGUUCUAGUUUAUGGAUUGCUAGCCAGCCUAACAUAAGUUGACGGUAUUGCAGAAUAAUAAAAUAUCUGAUACUUCUGCUGCUGAAGCUAGAAGAGGAAAAGACAUCCAGGGAAGACCUUGGGAUCAGCUAAGCAUCACUAGGGAAAAAUACAGGCAAACUAGGCUAGAACAGUACAAGAACUAUGAGGAUAUCCCCCACUCUGGGGAAGUGUCAGGGAAGGUAAAAGUACUUAAAAGUUGCCCGCUUUCCUUCUAAAAUGUGCUAAAUUGAAAUUUCAGUUUGUAUGUAGGAUUGCAAGAUUACCAAGAAGGGUGCAUCAUACUAUGACUUCAGGCUAAAUUCGAGAUCUGUGAAACCACCAAUACUUCAUUUUCAGGUUAGCUGAAUGGGAAUUUUCAUUCAAGACCUGUGAUGUCAUAGAAGGAUUUGUCUUUUUCUUGUUAAAAUUCUUUCUCAUAUCUUGUAGUUGUACGGCCAGUCCUUUCCUCUUUUACUGCUUGACUGUGGUGUGAUCAUUAUUGUUAGAGAUAGACGUAUCAAUUUGUGGUGAUGCAGUUGAGGAACCUGGUAUGGGCUACAUCAAAACAUGAUGUUUAUCUCAUGUCACAAUUUUCUGUCAUGCAUUGGUCUUCAUUGACACACAAGAAGAGUAAAAUUCUUAAUGUUUCUGGGCAUGUGGCACCAUCUGAGGUCUGUGCUCUGGCAGUGAUUUGGCACUUUAUCUGACUUGUUGGUCUUCUUCCUUUUCUUUUCUUGUUAUCCCCCCAUAUUGUUUCCUCAGAUUGAUUUGCGUGUUUUUCCCUUUUAGAAACAUCCUGGAAGUCUGAUGGAAGGUUUUACGCAAACUCAAGUCAGUACUCUUGCAGUAAAGGAUAAGCUGCUAGUUGCUGGAGGAUUCCAGGGUGAACUAAUAUGUAAGGUAAGGAGAGCAACUUUUAUCCCUUCAAUCCUUCAUUGACAAAAAAGAGGUCAGAAAGAGGGAUAAGCCUUUGUGCAGUGAUUGCGGAGCUGCUUUUCCAUGCAAUAUAGCUACUUUUCAGUUUUUGCAAGUCACUUGAAGCCUAACAUUUAUAUCUUAACUGUUAUAGACAAUCUAUUGUUGGACAUAUCUGUGAUCCUGUAAGAUGGAUCUGAGUAGAAGGUUCUAUUAUGCAUUUUGGAGCUAAUGAUCUUGUGCUCAUUCUGUUCCAAACCUCAUUUACUUGUUUGUCUUGUUUUGAACUACUUACUGCUUAAAACUUUGUGAAUGACAGGUAAAAAAAUUUAUUUGGAUAGUUUCUUUUUUCCCCUUAGCUCUUGGUUGCUGUUUUCCUGAUGCCAGUUAUUUAAGAAUUAAGUAGUCGAUUUUGAUCUGUAAUGUAGCAUUUAGAUCGACCUGGAAUAAGCUUCUGCUUCAGGACAACUUAUGAUGACAAUGCCAUUACAAAUUCUGUUGAGAUUUAUGUCACUCCAAGGUAUUUCUUGUUUCCUGAUCUGCUGUUGACAUUGAUCUCAGUCAACCUGAACCUAAUUUGCUUUGUUCCUGAAUUACCAGUGGCGCAGUUCACUUUACGGCCUCAAAUAAUGACUGUGGAGUCAGAGAUUUUGAUAUGGAGAAAUAUCAGCUUUCCAAGCAUUUUCAUUUUCUUUGGCCUGUCAAUGUAAGUUACAUACAUUAGGAUUUCAUUGUUUCAGAUCUGUAAACACACACUAAUGUUAUUUUGUGUAUUAUUAAUUCUGAUUCUGUUAAUUCAAUAAAGGCAAAUGGUGAGAAAUACUUAAAAGCUAUGCUUGUAAUGUUGCUUUUGCAGCAUACUUCUCUGAGCCCUGAUGGGAAACUUCUAAUAAUAGUUGGAGACAACCCUGAUAUUAUGUUGGUAGACUCUGAUACGGGGGAGGUACUUGUCAUCCUGCUUUUGCAAUAUUGUUUACAUUUUUGGGGAUUGCAAAGCAUCAGCUGAUACUGAAAUUAAUUGCAGACUGUUAUGCCCUUGCGUGGACACUUGGACUUUUCAUUUGCGUCUGCAUGGCAUCCUGAUGGUGUCACUUUUGCAACCGGGAACCAAGACAAAACAUGCCGAAUUUGGGAUGUUCGAAACUUGUCAAAGUCAAUUGCUGUUCUAAAGGGAAACCUUGGAGCAAUACGGUCCAUUCGCUACACAUCUGAUGGUAAGUACAUGGCCAUGGCUGAGCCUGCUGACUUUGUGCAUGUGUAUGAUGUCAAAAGUGGGUACGAGAAUGAGCAAGAAAUCGAUUUCUUUGGUGAGAUAUCCGGCCUAUCCUUUAGUCCGGACACAGAGUCUCUCUUUAUUGGCGUAUGGGAUCGUACAUAUGGCAGCCUUCUUGAGUAUGGCCGCAUAUCGG